GACGAACGCUGGCGGCGUGCUUAACACAUGCAAGUCGAACGAUGAAGCCUAGCUUGCUAGGUGGAUUAGUGGCGAACGGGUGAGUAAUACGUGAGUAACCUACCUUUAACUCUGGGAUAAGCCUGGGAAACUGGGUCUAAUACCGGAUACGACCAAUCUCCGCAUGGGGUGUUGGUGGAAAGCGUUAUGUAGUGGUUAUAGAUGGGCUCACGGCCUAUCAGCUUGUUGGUGAGGUAACGGCUCACCAAGGCGACGACGGGUAGCCGGCCUGAGAGGGUGACCGGCCACACUGGGACUGAGACACGGCCCAGACUCCUACGGGAGGCAGCAGUGGGGAAUAUUGCACAAUGGGCGCAAGCCUGAUGCAGCGACGCCGCGUGAGGGAUGACGGCCUUCGGGUUGUAAACCUCUGUUAGCAGGGAAGAAGAGAGAUUGACGGUACCUGCAGAGAAAGCGCCGGCUAACUAC
This 468-nucleotide ribosomal RNA is filed under the name uncultured bacterium. RNAcentral describes it as "bacterial SSU rRNA". It matches the Rfam family "Bacterial small subunit ribosomal RNA", at positions 28 to 504 of the family's 1533-position model. The record is from RNAcentral.